This 61-nucleotide transfer RNA is filed under the name Argas lagenoplastis. Its description in RNAcentral is "tRNA-Thr". The record is from RNAcentral. Lineage: Eukaryota; Metazoa; Arthropoda; Arachnida; Ixodida; Argasidae.
GUUAUAAUAAUUUAAAAAAAAUAAUGGUUUUGUAAACCAUCUUUGGGACUCUCUUAUAACA